GCCCCCAUAGCCCAAUUGGCAGAGGCAGCCGACUUAAAAUCGGUAUGUUGCGGGUUCGAGUCCCGCUGGGGGCA
This 74-nucleotide transfer RNA is filed under the name Buchananella hordeovulneris. Its description in RNAcentral is "Actinomyces hordeovulneris tRNA". It matches the Rfam family "tRNA". From Rfam's summary of the family: Transfer RNA (tRNA) molecules are approximately 80 nucleotides in length. Their secondary structure includes four short double-helical elements and three loops (D, anti-codon, and T loops). The record is from Rfam by way of RNAcentral. Lineage: Bacteria; Bacillati; Actinomycetota; Actinomycetes; Actinomycetales; Actinomycetaceae.